GACGAACGCUGGCGGCGUGCUUAACACAUGCAAGUCGAACGGAAAGGCCCUGCUUUUGUGGGGUGCUCGAGUGGCGAACGGGUGAGUAACACGUGAGUAACCUGCCCUUGACUUUGGGAUAACUUCAGGAAACUGGGGCUAAUACCGGAUAGGAGCUGCUGCUGCAUGGUGGGGGUUGGAAAGUUUCGGCGGUUGGGGAUGGACUCGCGGCUUAUCAGCUUGUUGGUGGGGUAGUGGCUUACCAAGGCUUUGACGGGUAGCCGGCCUGAGAGGGUGACCGGGCACAUUGGGACUGCGAUACGGCCCAGACUCCUACGGGAGGCAGCAGUGGGGAGUAUUGCACAAUGAGCGGAAGCCUGAUGCGGCGGCGCCGCGUGCGGGAUGACGGCCUUCGGGUUGUAAACCGCUUUCGCCUGUGACGAAGCGUGAGUGACGGUAAUGGGUAAAGAAGCACCGGCUAACUACGUG
This 468-nucleotide ribosomal RNA is filed under the name uncultured bacterium. Its description in RNAcentral is "partial 16S ribosomal RNA". It matches the Rfam family "Bacterial small subunit ribosomal RNA", at positions 28 to 507 of the family's 1533-position model. The record is from RNAcentral.